Molecule: long non-coding RNA, 391 nt
Filed under: Astyanax mexicanus (Mexican tetra)
Lineage: Eukaryota; Metazoa; Chordata; Actinopteri; Characiformes; Acestrorhamphidae
Description: lncRNA (ENSAMXG00005009050.1)
Source: RNAcentral
UCAAUAGAAUCUAUCUGAAGUAUGAAGAAAGUUCCUGAUAGGGUUUUUCUUUUGUUUUUUCUUUUGUAGGCCCACAAGGUGAAAAAGGCAAGGAUGGCACGCCUGGCAAAGAUGGUAAACCAGGUACUCGGGGUCUACCUGGGCCGAAGGGUGAAGCAGGUGUGAGGGGACCCUCAGGUGUUCCAGGAACAAGAGGAACAUCUGGACCAGCAGGCCCCCGGGGGCCACCGGGCCUCCCAGGAGAGAGGGGUCAGCCGGGGCCUCCCGGACCCCCUGGACCCCCCGGACCACCAGGGCCUCCCGCACCCAUCCCUGAAGACAGUAAGUGCUUUCACUUCACAUCCCUUUACCAACUCUACUCACAGCUCACAGCAACCACUGCUGAUUAAAC